CUAACAGUGUAUUGAUUAUGAAUUGUUCUGACUCCAGGGAGGUCAAGGUAUCCGUGGACUGAAGGGCCACAAGGGAGAGAAGGGAGAAGACGGUUUCCCUGGAAUAAAGGGAGAUUUCGGUUCAAAGGGAGAGAGGGGAGAGCUUGGAGUCUCAGGGCCCAGAGGAGAGGAUGGUCCAGAGGGGCCAAAGGGUCGUGUUGGACCCCCUGGUGAGCUCGGGCCACUUGGAUUGG
Molecule: non-coding RNA, 233 nt
Organism: Labrus bergylta (ballan wrasse)
Lineage: Eukaryota; Metazoa; Chordata; Actinopteri; Labriformes; Labridae
Source: RefSeq, a predicted model, not a curated record